This 460-nucleotide ribosomal RNA is filed under the name uncultured bacterium. Its description in RNAcentral is "partial 16S ribosomal RNA". It matches the Rfam family "Bacterial small subunit ribosomal RNA", at positions 338 to 795 of the family's 1533-position model. The record is from RNAcentral.
CCUACGGGAGGCAGCAGUGAGGAAUAUUGGUCAAUGGGCGGAAGCCUGAACCAGCCAAGUCGCGUGAGGGAAUAAGGCCCUACAGGUCGUAAACCUCUUUUGCCGGGGAGCAAGGGCGGGGACGUGUCCCGGCCCGGAGAGUACCCGGGGAAAAAGAAUCGGCUAACUCCGUGCCAGCAGCCGCGUUAAUACGGAGGAUGCGAGGUUUAUCCGGAUUUAUGGGGUUUAAAGGGUGGGUAGGCGGGCUUUUAAGUCAGCGGUAAAAAUUCGGGGCUCAACCCCGUCCGGCCGUUGAAACUGGGAGCCUUGAGUGGACGAGAAGAAGGCGGAAUGCGUGGUGUAGCGGUGAAAUGCAUAGAUAUCACGCAGAACCCCGAUUGCGAAGGCAGCCUUCCGACGCCCUACUGACGCUGAGGCACGAAAGUGCGGGGAUCGAACAGGAUUAGAUACCCUUGUAGUC